UCCUUAUCAUUGAGGAGAGUCUCAGCCUUCUCUCCUGAGGCUGCUGGGAGCGUCACUGUGCACGAUACAAUCGGGGUAAUGUGAUAGAUUUUGUUGAGUGAUCGGAGAGUUGUGAUUGGAUGUGUGCUGAGCCUUGUCCCCUCUUCUCCUCUCCCCUGCAGGAAUGACGUGCCAGGCCCGCAGCUCCUACCUGGUGGACGAGGUGCAGUGGGGUCAUCGCUUCAUGUCUGUGCUCUCGCUGGAGGAUGGAUUCUACGAGGUGGACUACAACAGCUUCCACCAGACCUUCGAGGUCCCUACCCCGCUCUGCAGUGCCCGAGAGGUGGCCGAGACCGCCGCCAGAAUGGACGCUCACCUCUACUGGUCCAUCCCCAGCCAACUGGAUGAGAAGGUGGAGGAGGAGGGGACUGAGAAACAGGACAAGCAGAGGAACGGCAGCAUCACCAGUCCCGAGAGCGAGCCGGCGCCGUCCGAAUGACACAGUCCAUAGGGACUGACCUCUCCAUGGAUGGACACUAGACCUGGGGACUGACCACUCAGCGGAUGGACACUAGACCUGGGGACUGACCUCUCCAUGGAUGGACACUAGACCUGGGGACUGACCACUCUCCAUGGAUGGACACUAGACCUGGGGACUGACCACUCUCCAUGGAUGGACACUAGACCUGGGGACUGACCACUCUGCGGAUGGACACUAGACCUGGGGACUGACCUCUCUCCAUGGAUGGACACUAGACCUGGUCACUGGGGACUGACCUCUCUCCAUGGAUGGACACUAGACCUGGGGACUGACCUCUCUCCAUGGAUGGACACUAGACCUGGGGACUGACCUCUCUCCAUGGAUGGACACUAGACCUGGGGACUGACCUUUCUCCAUGGAUAGACACUAGACCUGGGGACUGACCACUCUCCAUGGAUGGACACUAGACCUGGGGACUGACCACUCUCCAUGGAUGGACACUAGACCUGGGGACUGACCACUCUGCGGAUGGACACUAGACCUGGGGACUGACCUCUCUCCAUGGAUGGACACUAGACCUGGUCACUGGGGACUGACCUCUCUCCAUGGAUGGACACUAGACCUGGGGACUGACCUCUCUCCAUGGAUGGACACUAGACCUGGGGACUGACCUCUCCAUGGAUGGACACUAGACCUGGGGACUGACCUCUCCAUGGAUGGACACUAGACCUGGUCACUGACCUCUCUCCAUGGAUGGACACUAGACCUGGUCACUGACCUCUCUCCAUGGAUGGACACUAGAUCUGGUCACUGACCUCUCUCUAUGGAUGGACACUAGACCUGGGGACUGACCUCUCCAUGGAUGGACACUAGACCUGGGGACUGACCACUCUCCAUGGAUGGACACUAGACCUGGGGACUGACCACUCUGCGGAUGGACACUAGACCUGGGGACUGACCUCUCUCCAUGGAUGGACACUAGACCUGGGGACUGACCUCUCUCCAUGGAUGGACACUAGACCUGGGGACUGACCUCUCUCCAUGGAUGGACACUAGACCUGGUCACUGACCUCUCUCCAUGGAUGGACACUAGACCUGGGGACUGACCUCUCCAUGGAUGGACACUAGACCUGGUCACUGACCUCUCCAUGGAUGGACACUAGACCUGGUCACUGACCUCUCUCCAUGGAUGGACACUAGACCUGGUCACUGACCUCUCCAUGGAUGGACACUAGACCUGGUCACUGGGGACUGACCACUCUCCAUGGAUGGACACUAGACCCGGUCACUGGGGACUGACCACAUUACUCAGACAUGGUAGCCAAUGCCUGAUGGCCGAUGCAAUAAAAAUACAUUUUCAGUUUA
Molecule: long non-coding RNA, 1825 nt
Organism: Rana temporaria (common frog)
Lineage: Eukaryota; Metazoa; Chordata; Amphibia; Anura; Ranidae
Exons: 2
Source: RefSeq, a predicted model, not a curated record